Molecule: small RNA, 127 nt
Filed under: Marmota monax (woodchuck)
Lineage: Eukaryota; Metazoa; Chordata; Mammalia; Rodentia; Sciuridae
Source: RNAcentral
UCUGGGCGUGGUGGUGUACGCCUGUUAUCCCAGCAACUCAGGAGGCUGAGGCAGGAGGAUGGCAAGUUCAAAGCUAGCCUCAGGAAUUUAGUGAGGCCCUAAGCAACUCAUUGAGACCCUGUCUCUA